Morus notabilis is the source of this 497-nucleotide long non-coding RNA. RefSeq lists it as uncharacterized. The record is from RefSeq and is a predicted model, not a curated record. Lineage: Eukaryota; Viridiplantae; Streptophyta; Magnoliopsida; Rosales; Moraceae. The transcript is spliced from 4 exons.
UCUCUCAUUCACACUCGUUCUCUCUCUCGUUUUCAUCAUCACGCCCACAUCAAGAAAGAAAGAAAAGAAAAUCCUUCCAACCGAUACUUACUAUCUUCUUCCAAAUCCUUGACCUUGGUAUUUGAUCAUUGAGGAAGAUUGAAAUAAUCACAUAUAUCAGAGCCUCUAGGAUCGCAUCACCACACAAAUUAAGGUUAAGUAAGCUGUAUUCAAUAUCCAUGUUAUACUCUGACGAAAAUCAAGACAAGUGAAGAAGAUGUUUUGUCACGUUAAAUGAUGAGGCAACGUACAACUUCGUGUUUCAUGGUCUUAGGGCAACCCGUCGAUCUAGACGACAAUUUCAUGUUUACAUUGCCUCGAUAAAGGUAAAGGAAUAGCAUGAAGUGGAUGAAGCUAGACGGGCAUGUGACGGGCAAGAAUGUGGGAGAUGGGGAUACCACACGCAAAAUUUUAUUUCCGCUAAAGUUUUAAUAUUUAAUAGAAUUAUAAUUUCAUGG